This 492-nucleotide ribosomal RNA is filed under the name uncultured bacterium. RNAcentral's name for it is "partial 16S ribosomal RNA". It matches the Rfam family "Bacterial small subunit ribosomal RNA", at positions 29 to 507 of the family's 1533-position model. The record is from RNAcentral.
AGUGAACGCUGGCGGUAGGCCUAACACAUGCAAGUCGAACGGCAGCACAGUAAGAGCUUGCUCUUACGGGUGGCGAGUGGCGGACGGGUGAGGAAUACAGCGGAAUCUACUUUUUCGUGGGGGAUAACGUAGGGAAACUUACGCUAAUACCGCAUACGACCUACGGGUGAAAGCAGGGGAUCUUCGGACCUUGCCCGAUUGAAUGAGCCGAUGUCGGAUUAGCUAGUUGGCGGGGUAAAGGCCCACCAAGGCGACGAUCCGUAGCUGGUCUGAGAGGAUGAUCAGCCACACUGGAACUGAGACACGGUCCAGACUCCUACGGGAGGCAGCAGUGGGGAAUAUUGGACAAUAGGCGCAAGCCUGAUCCAGCCAUACCGCGUGGGUGAAGAAGGCCUUCGGGUUGUAAAGCCCUUUUGUUGGGAAAGAAAAGCAGCAGGUUAAUACCCCGCUGUUCUGACGGUACCCAAAGAAUAAGCACCGGCUAACCUCGUG